Long non-coding RNA from Arachis duranensis, 1084 nucleotides. RefSeq lists it as uncharacterized. The record is from RefSeq and is a predicted model, not a curated record. Lineage: Eukaryota; Viridiplantae; Streptophyta; Magnoliopsida; Fabales; Fabaceae. The transcript is spliced from 4 exons.
AAGCCGCUGGCGCAUGUCCGUCCAGCCACCGCCACCGUCCCAACUUCGAGCUUCGAAGGCAACGGCGCAACGUUCGUCCAGCCACCGCCGUUUGAGCUUCGAAAAUCGAAGCCACCGUCGCCGGUCUCACCUCUUGCCUCCGUCGUGCAGUCACUUCCCGCCGAUGGCAGCUCUAUUCCACACGACCACGUCGGCCACCUUCCCCGAAUCAAGAAUCAUUCGUGCAUCGUGCACCCCCAUUAGCCCCUUCUGAAGAAAAUCAAAGAGAACCCUAGCCCUAGGAUCCUUGCCGCCGCCGUCCCCAGGUUCUCGGCGCCUCCACUUCUUCUUCUUCUCGCUGUUCGGAACCCAGGUAGCUUGGUUCGUCAUCCCCAUCUUCCCUGUCUUCUCUGUUCGUGGCUUGGAGCAGCUCGCCGUUGGGUCGCCGCUUGCUGUCGCCUUGCCUAUUGUCGUCGUCUCGUCGGUUUCCAUCCGUGUCUCCGUCGAAGGUUCAGUAUUGGCUUCAACUUUCAAAUAGGAAUUGGGAGCUGGUGAAGAUAAUAACAUCUUCUGGAACUGAGUCUGUUGUUUCACUGCCUGAUAGAAAAGAACGGUUUUUUCGGUUGAACCACGGUUAGACCGGUUGGACCAGUAAACCAGUGAACCAGUGACUAAAACGAUUCGAUGACCGUGUCACCCAGCCGCCAGCCGCCAGCCGCUUGCCGCCCGCCGUCAUCCUCUUCGUCUCACCGCCGGCCUGAACUCUGAAAGAACUAAGGAAGUAGGAACAGCCGAACAGAACAGAGCCGCGGCUGUCCAUCAUCGCCGUCGCCGUCAAACUCGCCCUUGCUGCGCCGUCGAACUCGCCGUUGCCUCGCUCUUCUGCUCUGUCAAACAGGUUAGCUCCAGUUCUCCUCUGUAGUCUGCUCUGUUCUGCACUUCUUGCUGUUACAGUGUUAUGAAUAUGCUUGUUGAAAUUUCUGGGAUGAAUAUGCUUGUUGAAAGCUUGAAUCUAUGAAAUAUGAAUUAUGUUUUGUUGAUUUGUUCUGUGUUUUACAUGCUUGUUAAAAACUUGAAAAUUUGUUGUUUUAUUGAUUUGUUCUUG